MicroRNA precursor from Chlorocebus sabaeus (green monkey), 89 nucleotides. Lineage: Eukaryota; Metazoa; Chordata; Mammalia; Primates; Cercopithecidae. The record is from Ensembl.
UAUUAGGUUGGUGCAAAAGUAAUUGCGGUUUUUGCCAUUACUUUUAAACUGGCAAAAACCGCAGUUACUUUUGCACCAACCUAAUAUUU